Molecule: long non-coding RNA, 2385 nt
Filed under: Triticum aestivum (bread wheat)
Lineage: Eukaryota; Viridiplantae; Streptophyta; Magnoliopsida; Poales; Poaceae
Description: long non-coding RNA (TAES_LNC025821)
Source: RNAcentral
UUUCUCCUUCGUCCCUCUCCAUCCCCUUUCCUUCUCCUGCAGCGCCAUACCACCGGCAAUUGCAAGCACGACUGCUUGGGUCCGCCGCCUCAUCCGUGCUCGACUGCAAGCACCCACGAGGCACGUGCUUUGCCUCCUCCAGAUCCACGAAGUGAGGCAGAAAGAAAUAUGACAUCGAUGAUUCAAGGUGCCUUCACAAGCAAGUGCACUACAAGACACGGGAAGAAGGUCCUCCCAUGACCUCUCGCCGCCGAGCUCGACCGCAAGGAGCUCGCGGUACACGGGGAAAUUGACCACGAAUACCUGUCUUGGUUAUCCCAUCCUCAAAUCCCCAAAUUUAUGCAGUUACCUUUUUUCUAGGAGAGAGCGAGCAGUUUAUCCCCUUCCAGACCUAAUAGACUACAAUUUCGAAUUGAUUUUGUUUUUGCACGAACUGAAACUGCAGGAUGCAUGUUCAUCUCCCCCCAACCUAUAAGGUGAAUGAUAAUAGAUGAUCCAGUACUAUCGCUCAUCUUGAUAUGCUAUUUGGUUUGGAUAACUACACUUAUGUGGAAUUCUACUUCUCUUCACGUUGUUUGCAGGCUAGAUAUUGUUACAGAUCUAACCAGGAUAACUACACUUCCAUGGAACUGUACUUCUCGCCAUGUUGUUUUCAGGCAAGACAUUGUUACAGAUCCAACAGACAUUGAAUUACCAUUUUGUUCUCCACAUGUUCCCUAUGUGCCUUAUGAUUGUACGUGGCUUUGGCAAAAUGUUGAUUUCAUAAUUAAUUUUAUUUAUGAAUGUUUACAGCACAUGUAAUUGUUUGGACCCAAGCAUCAACUGCAGAUUAGGUUGAUGCAAAUAUGAAGUAUGUUUCUCCACAUUUUUAAAAAUAGAUAUGUAAUAUGGGGAUAGCAAGAGCGAUGUCUAUUUUGUUUACAAUAUGUAUGCCACUACCAGAACCCCAUUCAUUUUCUUCCCGGCCUCCCUCAGAUCCUAUUCCUUGGGCCACCCACAUCUAUUAUUUUUCUCUUUGCUCACCAGUUAGGAAGUCUCUGCUGCUGCUAUAUCAUACUUAUGGGGGGUGAUCUGUAUGGUAAGGUCUGAGUUUCGGUUGUUUUCGGAGUGCAGCCAAAGCGUUGGAGUUUCCCAUAUUUUUGGUACAUGCGGUGGAAGUGAUCUUAGCGACUCUCAGCUCAGCAAGCAGCGUGGUUUCCGCAUGAUAGGACUGAACGUCUCUUGGCCAUUGUACGAUCUGGUAGGUCGAUGACCGAUCCUGCUUCUUCUAUCUUUCUUUCUUAGACAGAAACUGAAACAUCAACUAUUUUAGCUUUGCGUUUGUGCAUAAGUUUAUCACGGUAAAUUAGUUCUUUCAUUUUUAAUGGUUCAUAACUUUAUAUGGCUUCCUUGAUAAGGAACUAAUUUGAUCUCGCAGAAAACUGCUCUAUUGUUUGUUAUUGGGGUUAGCUGAAUGUCUAGAAGAUGCGUGAUAUGAUUACUUAAACAACCAGGUGAGUAAUGAUCUUGCGUGGUGUAAAUAUUCUUGAUGUUUCAAGCGUCGGUAUUGUCCAAUCACAUGAUGUUGAACCUAACUAUUUAUGAUUUUGCGGUUUGUGUGAAGAUAUUCUGAUUUUCAUUUUCCGUCAAUUUGUUACUGAUGUUAGUAAUACAUGUUUAUGCUUUAAUUACUAUAUUGUCAGCUGUCAUUUCUCGCCUAUUAGGACAACAUAUAUGCCUUCCAAAAGAUUAUUUUUUUAUGUGCUAAGUCUGCUGAAUAUACUACCAAGUUAGUUGAAUCUAGGCUUUUCCUUGAUAAAUAUAUGGUUGUAUCGCUUUUUCCCUUCUGUACCUAUCUCUCAAUUUGUAUUUGUUCACUUAUCUAACAUUUAUAGUUAACCAUAUAGCCUAGAUAUUUCCCACUAUUAUAGAGAAUGCUUGGAGCAAGGACGCAUGUAGACCUAUCAAGCGUGUCUUUUUUUUGCAGGAUGUACAUGUAACAUUUUAGCCUAGCAGAACCUUGAGACAAAGCUUGAAGUGAGGACACCUGUAGAUCUGUCAAGCAUAUAUUUUUUGCAAGAUGUACAUGUAGUCUUUAAGGCUAGCAGAACCUUCAUAUGUCCAAACUUUGUAUAUAGUUAUAUCUGAUGACAUAUUGAUGUGAAGAUUAAUUGCUCUCAAUUAGCUAGAUUAUGGAUGUAGUAGUUCCAUAUGUUUGUCAGACAUGAAAAACCGUCAGGAAUUGUUGUUGUAUAGUAAUAAUUAUAAUUACUGAUCAUUUAUCUCGCAUGUUUCAUGCUACCAUGUUUAGAAAAAGAAUAAGCUACAUGUAGCUAACAUACUCUAAUGUUAUUGCUUAAAAUGUUCUACAGCAACGCGCGGGGUAUCAUCUAGUUCUAUUAAAAG